This is a small nuclear RNA of Tursiops truncatus (common bottlenose dolphin), 107 nucleotides long. The record is from Ensembl. Lineage: Eukaryota; Metazoa; Chordata; Mammalia; Artiodactyla; Delphinidae.
GUGCUCUCUUCGGAAGCACACACACUAAAGCUGGAACGGUACAGAGAAGAUUAGCAUGGCCCCUGUGCAAGGAUGACACGCAAAUUCAUGAAGCAUUCCAUAUUUAU